UCCUGGAUCCUUCCUGGAUCCUGCCUGACUCCUGCCUGACUCCUGCCUGACUCCACAGCUGCAGACUCCCAGCAUGAGGUGGUGCCAGACACUGGGGUCACUGGGGUCAUGGGGUGCACUGGGGUCACCGGGGGCACAGGGGGUUCUGAGAGCACUGGGAUUACUGGGGACAGCGGGACACUGGGGACAACGGGACACUGGGAUUACUGGGGACAGUGGGACACUGGGAUUACUGGGGACAGCGGGACACUGGGGUUACUGGGGACAGCGGGACACUGGGGUCACUGGGGACAACGGGACACUGGGAUUACUGGGGACAAGGGGACACUGGGAUUACUGGGGAUGAUGGGACACUGGGGUCACUGGGGAUAGCGGGACACUGGGAUUACUGGGGACAGCAGGACACUGGGAUCACUGGGGACAACGGGACACUGGGAUCACUGGGGACAAGGGGACACUGGGAUUACUGGGGACAACGGGACACUGGGAUCACUGGGGACAAGGGGACACUGGGAUUACUGGAGACAAGGGGACACUGGGGUCACUGGGGACAGUGGGACACUGGGAUUACUGGGGACAGCGGGACACUGGGGUCACUGGAGAUAACAGGACACUGGGAUUACUGGGGACAAGGGGACACUGGGAUUACUGGGUGCACUGGGAGUACAGGGGGUUCUGAGAGCACUGGGAUUACUGGGGACAAUGGGACACUGGGGUCACUGGGGACAAUGGGACACUGGGAUUACUGGGGACAAGGGGACACUGGGAUUACUGGGGACAGCAGGACACUGGGGUCACUGGGGACAAGGGGACACUGGGAUUACUGGGGACAGCAGGACACUGGGAUUACUGGGAACAAGGGGACACUGGGAUCACUGGGGACAAUGGGACACUGGGGUCACUGAGGACAGAGGGACACUGGGAUUACUGGGGACAGCGGGACACUGGGAUUACUAGGGACAAGGGGACACUGGGAUUACUGGGGAGAACGGGACACUGGGGGUAUUGGAGGUGCUGGAGUCACUGGGAACGCUGGGGACACUGGGAACACUGGGGGCACUGGGAACACUGGGAACACUGGGGGCACUGGGAACACUGGGGGCACUGG
This 1108-nucleotide long non-coding RNA is filed under the name Manacus vitellinus (golden-collared manakin). RNAcentral describes it as "lncRNA (ENSMVIG00005004246.1)". Lineage: Eukaryota; Metazoa; Chordata; Aves; Passeriformes; Pipridae. The record is from RNAcentral.